GUGGAACGUAAAUGAAAAAAAAAUCAAAAACCUAUACUUGUGGAACACAUACAUCUGGAUUGGUUCAGAGCUGGUAGGGCCGUUGCUCGGGUCGGAGGGCUUGACUCGGGAAAUCAUGAGGGGUUCCUUAGGGUAGCGGGAUUGGCCGGGUCUUGGUGGAGAGCGGCGUAAAGCUAUCGUCAAUCUACUUUGGGCGUCUCUACAUGUUAGACAUGCACAGGUGCCCCAUGGGGCGGCUCAUCGUCGCAACCGUUCUGUCGCGCACUACUUCCAGGAGAAAGGAAGCUCUCAUCAUUAGUCGUGUUCUUAAGGUGCGCCGUUCUUUCUGGGUCAGUGGCUUCAAGGGUAGUGGGGUCUUUGGAGCCAUUGAUGUGUCUUAUUGGAGUAGCUUGCCCCCGGUUUAUUGCUGAAUCUUGCUCAUAGGCCCUCGUUGACAAGGCAGGCCCCAGCAGCCCUUGUACUGUAU
Molecule: long non-coding RNA, 466 nt
Filed under: Androctonus crassicauda
Lineage: Eukaryota; Metazoa; Arthropoda; Arachnida; Scorpiones; Buthidae
Source: RNAcentral